This is a non-coding RNA of Lonchura striata (white-rumped munia), 795 nucleotides long. The record is from RefSeq and is a predicted model, not a curated record. NCBI's taxonomy places the organism in Eukaryota, Metazoa, Chordata, Aves, Passeriformes, Estrildidae.
GAGGGCUCGGCGCUCCGCUAAUCAAAAUCUGUAAGCCGGGAAGAGGGCGUUUCCGAGGUACCCGGAUGGGUCGUUCUCGUUGUGCCUCCGGAAACUGGAAUGCGGCUCUCGGCAGGGCCGGAGCCCCGUGGCGUCUCCCUGCGCUCGGCCGUGCUGAGGCCGCUCAGCGCGAAGAACGAUGGGGAGCAGACCGCGGAAUGCAGUUUUUUGCGAUGUGAAAAAUUGCGUUAUUUGUGUGUUUUUAUUAAAAACCUGUCUGUUGUGGUCAGCCUCUUGUAGUGUCUUUUGAGGACAGGAUAGGAUAGUGUAGGAUUGGAUAGGAUAGUUCUUUUGAAAGGUACCUACAACUAUUACCUGGUACAACUGGCUGGCCACUUCAGGGCCAAGCAAAGGGUACAGCACGUUGUUCAGAAUUGCGCCUGAGGAGCACCGCUGGCAGCCCCAGUCACUGCAUCCCGCUGGGCUCCGCGCUUCAGCCAGGCCUUCAGCAGCACUGGGUGAACCCACUGCUGGACAACACCUGCAGGAGGAUGCUGUGAAGGACAGCAACUGAAGGCUUAACCACACUUACGAAUUCUUACAUCCAUGUCCUUCCCUUCAACCACUAGGUACUGAGACUGUACCAAGAGGCCUUCCUAGAUCUUCCCUCAUGCCCUUUUUGUAAACUGAAAUAAUGUUGGGUAGAUUCCAGUCCAGGACCCCCAAAAACUCCAAGAUCUUUGGAAGCUAUCUGACAUGCAUCUCUGUACUUGUGUUACUCAGCCAUUUAUGUGAGCAUUAAAACUGUUGGAGAAG